CGGUUCCAGAGGAGAAGGUAAAAUGCCAGCUGGCUGUUAGAGCACUGGAGUUUACAGUGAAGACAGCUGAAAUACUUCCCAGGUUCGGGGAGGAGGACUGGCAAACCCAGAGGCCAAAAAAGAUUCACCCUAAGCUACCAUCUAUUGCCAACUUCCUCUUUUUGUUUCCUCUCCGAAGCCCGACUGCAUGGUUGUGUAUCCUGGUUGUAAGUCCUUCUAGUUCUAUGUGAGCUGCUGCCACAGCACGGCUACUGACAGGUGAGUGGUGUGGUUCUGCGACUGGGAAAUGAACCCGGGCCAACAAAGCAGUGACAGCGCUGAACUUUAACCAGUUCGCCAUCAGGGCUGGCUCAGCAAAUUGCUUUUGCAUCUUUAAAAACCUGAAUUGCUUCUGAGAGUCCUGCUUACCAAAACAAAGUGUUUGUCAAAGCUAAUCUUUUAC
RNAcentral lists this long non-coding RNA (442 nucleotides) under Equus caballus (horse). Its description in RNAcentral is "lncRNA (ENSECAG00000048532.1)". Lineage: Eukaryota; Metazoa; Chordata; Mammalia; Perissodactyla; Equidae. The record is from RNAcentral.